Molecule: long non-coding RNA, 247 nt
Filed under: Lathyrus oleraceus (garden pea)
Lineage: Eukaryota; Viridiplantae; Streptophyta; Magnoliopsida; Fabales; Fabaceae
Description: Pisum sativum (pea) long non-coding RNA (PSAT_LNC030007)
Source: RNAcentral
UGGUUCAAGGAGUGGCUUAGGGACAGCAAGAGAUUAGAUUGUUAGUACAGGGGAAUCCCCCUACUACUCAACCGGAGGUUGUGGCUGAUCCUCCCGCUGGAGAGGCUAAUGAAUCCAAUGGACUGGGGCCUAUCCCAAUCCCACAUGGCAACCUUGGUCAACAACCCACCCAUGAUGAUCAGGAGGAUCAAUUCCCCCUGCUUCAGGAGGACUUUGGCAUGGGCCAUGGUAUGGGCCCUAUGUUUCG